RNAcentral lists this transfer RNA (84 nucleotides) under butyrate-producing bacterium SS3/4. RNAcentral's name for it is "tRNA-Ser (TGA) (tRNA-Ser-TGA-2-1)". It matches the Rfam family "tRNA". From Rfam's summary of the family: Transfer RNA (tRNA) molecules are approximately 80 nucleotides in length. Their secondary structure includes four short double-helical elements and three loops (D, anti-codon, and T loops). Lineage: Bacteria; Bacillati; Bacillota; Clostridia; Eubacteriales. RNAcentral also lists the same sequence under 1 other name. The record is from RNAcentral.
GCCAUAGGUCCGGAAGGUCGAGGAAGCGGUCUUGAAAACUGGCUGACCGUAAAGGGUUCCGGGGUUCGAAUCCCUGCUAUGGCG